UAAUAUAUUAGCGCCGCAUGAGGCCUGUGAUUCGACAAGGAAAAGAGAGGCAGAGCUUCUCAGAAGAGAGGAGGAACCAAGAUGGAGGCAGACCCAACAGGAUGAUUCAGAACCAGCAUGGCUUUAAAUAGCCACAGAAUGGAAUGGAACACAUUCAAAAUAUCUUCUUGUGUCUCUGAUGCCCAGAAAAAGUCCAACAGACCUUUCAGGGUUUUGUACCUCUGUUCAACACACAUUUCUUGAAACUUCUACCUUCUCGCCAUCCUCAGGUCCUCCCUAAUAGAUAAAAGAGAACUGAACAAGAAGUGCUAUCUACACCUGGUGGAAAAACGCUUUUCAAAUCUGCAAGCUCAAGGUGCCCCUCAACCAUGUGGCAGGACACCCAUCUGGAGAAACACAUCUCCCUUGAGGUUUGGGAAUUCAAAAGAUGAAGCUACCCCAGAUAAAGUUCCAGGUGGUAUAAAAGAACAUGAAGGUUUUUUUGGUUGUUUUGUUUUUCAACUCCAGUGAUUCUGUGACUUUAUUACUCUUCUUCCCGAGCCUUAAAAAAAAAAAGUCAAGCUAAGUUGUAGCUCAUGUUCAGCCUCAAAACAUUAUGUUAUCAUAAUUUUCUAGAGGACACUAAAUACCAGGACAUUAUUGCAAGAACUGACCUGACUUAUAGGAUUAUUCUUAAGUCUACAAAUUAAAGCAUUUUAGAGAAAAUGUAUUGAUACCUCUAUAUUUUUCUCUUAAUGCAGCAAUUUGUACUUUUAGAAUAAGAGUUAAUUAACCUAGCCAUGAUCAGUUAACAUGCUAAUUAUCUUCCCUGCCCUCAAGUAAUCAUACUCCAAACUAUAGCAUGAGUACUAGGCCACAAAACAUUAUCUGAGUAGUCCUUGAAAGGGCUUUAUCAAUAUUUUAGUCUCUAAAUUUAACAAUUUUGGAUUCAAAUUCAGCCUUCGUUUCCACAUCCAAUUAUACUAUUUAUGCCUAUGGUACUUGUGGUGGUUUGAAUAGGAAUGGCUCUCAUAGACAUAUGUAUUUGAAUGAUUAAAUUGUGGGGAGCGACAGUAUUAGGAGAUGUGCCCUUAUUGGAGUAGGUAUGGCCUUGUUGGAGGAAGUGUGUCAUUGUGGAGAAGGACUUUGAGGUCAUAUAUUUUCAAGCUACACCCAUAAUGGUACACAGUCUCUCCUUGCUGCUUAUGGAUCAAGACGUAGACAUCUCAGGUCUGUGUUCAGCACCACGUCUGCCUGUAUGCUGCCAUGUUUUCCCCCAUGACA
Molecule: long non-coding RNA, 1263 nt
Organism: Arvicanthis niloticus (Nile rat)
Lineage: Eukaryota; Metazoa; Chordata; Mammalia; Rodentia; Muridae
Source: RefSeq, a predicted model, not a curated record